This 354-nucleotide transfer-messenger RNA is filed under the name pig gut metagenome. It matches the Rfam family "transfer-messenger RNA". Rfam says of the family: Bacterial tmRNA, also known as 10Sa RNA or SsrA, is named for its dual tRNA and mRNA-like properties. Its role is to liberate the mRNA from a stalled ribosome. The record is from RNAcentral.
GGGGAUGUAAUGGUUUCGACAUUAUACCAGAAGCAUGAAUAGCGAGUAGUGGAUUCUCGUUGGCCACUUAAAAAAACGGGAAAUUUAAAUAUAAACGCUGAUAAUAGAGAAUUAGCAUUUGCUGCCUAGUUGCGGCAACGCCUGUUAAAGUAUCCCCACAUAUUUUAAUUUGGUGUCAUUUUAGUGGGAAACAAAGCUGUUUUUUCUAUAGGAACAGUGGGUACUUAUAUAGAUAUAUUUAACCGUCGUUUGUUUGUUAAUGAUCGUUAAAUGAAUUUUAAUAACAAACUGCACUCGGAGAAGUUUGUGUGGAAAGUAUUAUGGACAGGAGUUCGACUCUCCUCAUCUCCACCA